UGGGGAAUUUUGGACAAUGGGCGAAAGCCUGAUCCAGCAAUGCCGCGUGUGUGAAGAAGGCCUUCGGGUUGUAAAGCACUUUCAGCGAGGAGGAAGGUGGUGAACUUAAUACGUUCAUCAAUUGACGUUACUCGCAGAAGAAGCACCGGCUAACUCCGUGCCAGCAGCCGCGGUAAUACGGAGGGUGCAAGCGUUAAUCGGAAUUACUGGGCGUAAAGCGCACGCAGGCGGUUUGUUAAGUCAGAUGUGAAAUCCCCGGGCUCAACCUGGGAACUGCAUUUGAAACUGGCAAGCUAGAGUCUCGUAGAGGGGGGUAGAAUUCCAGGUGUAGCGGUGAAAUGCGUAGAGAUCUGGAGGAAUACCGGUGGCGAAGGCGGCCCCCCUGGACGAAGACUGACGCUCAGGUGCGAAAGCGUGGGGCAGCAAACAGGAUUAGAUACCCUGGUAGUCCACGCUGUAAAACGAUGUCGAUUUGGAGGUUGUGCCCUUGAGGCGUGGCUUCCGGAGCUAACGCGUUAAAUCGACCGCCUGGGGAGUACGGCCGCAAGGUUAAAAACUCAAAUG
Molecule: ribosomal RNA, 564 nt
Filed under: uncultured bacterium
Lineage: Bacteria
Description: partial 16S ribosomal RNA
Rfam family: Bacterial small subunit ribosomal RNA
Source: RNAcentral